UACGUAGGGUGCGAGCGUUGUCCGGAAUUACUGGGCGUAAAGAGCUCGUAGGCGGUUUGUCGCGUCUGCUGUGAAAACUGGAGGCUCAACCUCCAGCCUGCAGUGGGUACGGGCAGACUAGAGUGUGGUAGGGGAGACUGGAAUUCCUGGUGUAGCGGUGAAAUGCGUAGAUAUCGUGAGGAACACCAGAGGCGAAGGCGGUUUCCUGGACAGUUACUGACGCUCAGGCACGAAGGCAUGGGGAGCAAAAGGG
Molecule: ribosomal RNA, 253 nt
Filed under: uncultured bacterium
Lineage: Bacteria
Description: partial 16S ribosomal RNA
Rfam family: Bacterial small subunit ribosomal RNA
Source: RNAcentral